GGGAACUGAAGCUGGAAAUACACCCUUUUGUUUCAGUCAUUUCACAGCUUAGCUUUCUAAAUGUCUCUUUGUUUAUCAAGUCUUUAGGGUGGAGUAAGCUCUGUGCACUUACAAAUUGCUAAAGCAGUGUUCCAUGUCAUGAAUGGGACCGACUCGGUCUUCUCUGUUGUUUUUCAUAUACAAAUCGGACAGAAUCCGUUCGCGUUUUGCUCCUUGAGCUCUGUCGGCAUUGUGUCUACAGAUGUGUCUGUGUGUGGACGUGUGCCUGGGCACUCCCGGCGGCUGCUGGGCCAGCAGCUGCGAGCAGUUGUGAGCGUGGCUCGCCUACUUGGAGACCGCUUGUGUUUGAGGGAAAACUCAGCCUUUACCGCUGAGCUCCACCGGAGCCGUGAGGAGACGCUCUCCUCCAUGACGAGCGCGGCGAUGGAAGCCGCAUUUCGCACCCCUGCUUUGACCACAAGCAGACGGCCCCCUCCACCCUCCCCAGGACUCGAGGGCGAGCUGUGCGCGUCCCUGGGGGCCGGGGGCUGCCCCCCGGUGUCCCCUCACACCCACCCCUCAACCCCCGCUCCGCCCGCGCCCUCCUGCCGCGGGGGGCCGCUGUGCGCGGCGGGGCGGCGCCGCCGAAGGUUGCGGCCGUUGCCUAGCGAGGCGCUGUCACCAGCAGCGCGGGCGGCCCAGGCGCGGCCCGCCGGCCCCUCAGCCCGCCCGGAGGCUGCCUCCCGCCGCCCGGAGCAGGAUUUCAGGCUCUUGCAAAGCCUCCUUGACUGAGAAUCAGCAAGAGAAGAGCAGAAGAUGUGUUUGGGAUCCGGCAGCAUUUGAUACCCAUCGAGGCUUUGGAGUGUUUCUGGUAGACAUUUGUAAAGAAAUCCUAUUCGAUGCUUCUUCUUGUGCUUCAGAAUUAAUCCGUGGGGGGCAGUAUAAGGAGCCAUGGUUGCUGAAAUAUAUAACUAAUAAAAAAUAGUUCCAUAUGGGCAUAAAGAGACGGAUUAAAAUCAGAGGAAUGCUUGGUGUGUAGUAAUCACAACUAUUUAAAAUCAUACCCCCCAUGUAAGCAACACGACAGCUUUCUGUGCUUCUGAAAUUCUAAAUACUUGGCCCUUGUAAGCAGAAGAUGGCUUUCAAGCACGUGUGUGUCUAUAGGUAUUAAUUCCGGAUAAAAAGGUUUUUUUGAAUAAUUUCUGUUGCCUAUGCAUCGGUACUGUAGCAGUGAGAAAAUAAGGUUCAUUGUAAGUCUAUGCUUUAUCAAGAGUUCAUUAACAAGAUCUUACAAUAUUGUUGCUUCAUCCGGCAGUAUAACGUCCAAACAGAAAGUCUGACCACUUUCAGACCAAAGGUUAAGUCUGCUAGCUUAGAAGGUAAUAGAAGCAAAAUUAGUUUCUGCACUGGUUUAACAGUUGUUAACAUAUCUGCUUUUUUAUCACAGUUCCUUUCCAGGGUGUAAUGUUGCUUAUGUGCAUCACUCUUCAUGCUGAUAAAUAUUUUAAAUUACAAACAAACUUUGAUUAUCAUACUUAUCCACUUAUCCAAAGCAUAGAGAAGCAUAACUAGAAACAUGGGAAAAUGAUAUGCAUAAAAGCAACAGACAAAUGCAGCAAGCAUAAUUUAGGUGAUUUAAAAUGUAAGGAUUUGGACCUAAGAAAUAUUCUGCCAAAAGUCUGUAAAAGUUGGUUUUAUUAUUUACUGAACUAUAAAAUACAAAGUUUAGAAAUGUAAAUUUUGCACAGUGCAGAUGACACACGAUGUGAAAGUAAGCAAGUCACUAUCACAUUCCUUCAGAGACUGAUGACGUCUAGUUGCAUGAUAAAUGUGCCUUAGGGAGGCUGUGGUAAGCUCUCAUAGGACUAACAUGAAGAUCAGUGUUUGCCUUGUGGCAAGCAGGUGUUGGAAUAAUUCGUUAAGUUUUCCUUUAAGAGCACUGUGUAAAAACAAUAAGGCUAUGCAAAGGAAUAGUAAAUGUUGUGAAAUAAAAGGAAGCUGAUUAUGCUAGGUGAAAGGCCACAAUCUCCUUUAAGCACCUGCAAGAACAACUGCAAAAAUGCUGAUGUUUAUAAAGUAGCCUGCUGGGACUAUAAUGAAGAUGUCAAAACCUCAGGCGGGCAGCCUUUCUUUAGUCCCCUUAAACCAUCUGUGGAUAAUGUGUGGAGGGGGGGAUGAUCUCACAAACCAUGUAAUCACAAAUUUCGUGUCUUUUAGUCUCUUAAAACAAAUAUAAAAACAAAGAUCAAAGCCACCAUCUAGACUGUGCUGAUUGACUUUUUGAAGAACAGCCCAAAGCUAGCAUAAGCAAGCAUUCAGAGUUCUAAACAAUCAGUAUCAAAAAAGACUAAACAAGAACAUGUUUAUCUACCAAAUAUCUUCUUGUAUCCUUUUUCUGUUUAAAUCUUCAGCCAGCUGGACAUUCAAUUUAUUGAAAGCAUGCCUUCAUUUACUAAGAACAUGAGUAUAUUCUUAUGGAUAUGAAAAUAUAUAUUUAUAGACAAAGUAGAGAGAAAAUACAUAUUAAGCUGUACAUAAAAUGAGGCAAAUGGCUGAGAAAAUAUGUACUCAGGCAAUGCAUCAGCUGGUUAUCUUUAUUUUUUCUUUUUUUUCUUUCUUUUUUUUUUUUUUAAAUGGGAAGUUUUUAUUACAACUUAUUACAUAGCUUGUAAAGUAAUGUAAAAUCUCUGAUGUAAAGUCUUAUAUUUCAUAUUGAAAUGCAAAGAACCUGGAAUUAAAACUACCACUUAAAGAUGAUAUUUUUAUGGAAACUUGAAUCCUAUCACUGUUUUUGAUUCGAAGUGUUCUGAAUCAUUAUUUCUCAUAAUUACAUGCAAAUUAACAUCUCAUAUGAACACAUGGAUUUCUAUUUUAUUUCAUUAAGAGACAGAAAAUAGCAAUCACAAACAAAAAGUAACUGAACUCUUUCCAAAGUCUGAAAGUCUACAGACAAAAUUUGCUUUGGUCUUUCAAUAACCCAAGCACUUGCCCAAAUUUUUAAUCUUUCUGGAUCCUGCUUCUCUGCAAGUCUUCCAAUGUUUUUGCUAGACAUAGCCUGAUUUCAUAUGGCAAUAAAUAUUUAAAACAAGAACAGACCCAAAAGCACAGAUUUCCUGCAACAGACACCGAGAUUUAACUCUGAGUUUUUCACUAAUCCAGGAGCUCCAAUCGUCAAAAAUAAUUUACAGCCUUUUUUGUCUUGGUCCCUCAUUAGCUAUGCUAAAUGUCCUUGGCAUCAAGAAAUGAAGUAGCCAUUUGCUCACUGUAGUAUCCUUUGAAUGGCUGUAAACCAGUAACAUCAGGAAAGGUACUGCUUUGCCUCAUUAGAUUUAUUGAACUAGCAGGGAACCAUUCUGUUGCAUGACUGAAGUCACUAUUUGACUAAGUAAACAUUUAAUGUAUUUUAACUAAUGUUUCAUGCCUACUCACAGCUUACAACUAUUGCAACUAUAUAUUUCAGCCAUUUUCCUUUUUUUUCCAUAACUGCCUCUGAUUUUCUUCAGUCUAAACAAGACAAACUAUAAAAAGGUCUUGCUCUGCCAAACUGCCAACCUGCAUUGGUAAUUUACAUAUUAAUAAUUACAUACAUAAAAGAGUAAAGCAUUACUUAGCACAAUUCAUUAACAAAAAGCAGUUUGCAUGUUGCCAGAGUUGAACAUCACACAAGAAUUGCAAGACCUGUCGCCUUUACAUUAAUAUGCAAUGCAGGACUUCAGCAGGUGCUCUACCUCCUGAAAUCAUUUUCAUGAACAAUUCGUCAUGAAAAGUAUUCUGAUGGAAAUAUAAUUUGCAAUAGAGACCAGUGAAAAAAUCAGAUGUUGUCUCUGGCAACUGUACCAAAAUUUCCAGUCACUUGUAUGGGUCAAAAAAAAAAUUAAAUCCAGUUCCAUACCCUCACGUCAAAUAAAAAGAUAAACUUAUUAAGUACUGUCCAUAAGGAUAUGAGUGUUUUUAUCUGCUUUUCAUGAAAAACAAAGAAAGAAAAACACACGCACCCUAUCCCAAAGUAUCACCUCUCCUAAGGCUUGAAAUUUGCUUUUAAUUGAAGUUUUAACACAUCUGUGCUCCAUUCCUACCUCAUCUCUGUGUGCCAAUGGUGUCCAUACAGAAAUACAUACUUCAUAAGAGAAAAAGAAAGAUGAUGACAGUUCCCUUGAUCAAUUUUUAGCAGGCUCCUCUAGGCAGCUGUAGCUUUAAUCCCAGAGUCAGAAAUUAAGACUAAAUCUGUGAAGAAGUGCAUUAAACAAAUUUCACCCACUAUGAGGGUGGUGAGGCAGUGGUACAGGCUGCCCAGAGGAGCUGUGGGUGCCCCAUCCCUGGAAGUGCCCAAGGCCAGGCUGGAUGGGACUUUGAGCAACCUGGUCUGGUGGGAGGUAUCCCUGCCCAUGGCAGAAGGGGUGGAACCAGGUGGUUUUAAGGGCCCUUCCAAUGCAAACCAUUCUGUGAUUCUAUGAAUUGUUGGAACUGUACUGUAGCAUUCCAGCCAAGCUUUGUGUACUGGGUACACAUGGUAAGGGUUUGGCUGCAGGGGUGAGCAGAGCCCAGCAGCUGCCUCAUGUCAGAGCAGAGCUAGCUCCGGCCGGCUCCAAAAGGUUCUGGCUGCUGGCCAGAGCUGAGCCAGAAAGUUUAAAUCACGAAUUUAAACUUUCCACUUACCACAGCAAACUUCUAUGUAUGUCACCUCUUGGUUGCUUAGAUCUCUUCCUGAUGCACAGUAGCGCAAGGCUCAAUUUUAAAAAGUCCCUUAUUAGGAAACCAGGAUGAAUGUGACAAGGAGGGAACAGUUUAUCACUUCAUUCUUUCUCUAACUAUCUCCCAUUCUUCACUUCUAGGGCAGGACGCUCAAUUCACUAUAAGCAGUAAAAAAAAAAAAAAAAAAAAAAGGCAACAGGCUGUAGCCACCAGGAAAAAAACAGCUAUGAUGGAAAGCCUUCAAGGUAAAUCAUUAGCUCCUAGACCUUUUUAAGUCCAGUCAACUGAUCUCGUCAUAAAAUGAAGAUGAAAGACAUGGUCAAUACAAAUUCAGAAAAUGGUAGAACAAUCUGUUUCUUCAGACACAGAACAUCUGCAUCCAGCUAGUUUGCAAGUAAUCCGAUGUGCACAGGAGGAUCAGGUGGAGCAGUCAGUUUACUGCAAUACCACUUUUCUCAACUUAUAACUUUGUAAGUGCCUUGUUUUAUCUCUGCUUGUCAAGCCUUUUGUACCAGGUAUGUUUUUGUACCGUGCCUUCUGCCUAUUCAGGAGAAAGCAGAAUGAUAAGGACAAUAUGCUUGCUUGCCUACUGCAUGCUACAGUAGACAAAUCAUGGAAACCUUAAACAUGGAAGUUAAAAUUUUCAUGAACGUCUUAAAAACAAUAAUAGGAAACUUCUUUAAUAGUUGCUAUGAUCAAUCUAAGCACAACUUUUAAUUUCCAGACCACUUGUUUUCAAUUUUUCAUUUCUAGACUAUGUCUUUCUAACUGUGGGAUGGGAAGUGGACAAUAAAAUUAAAAAGAAUCAUGGAUGGAUUGAAGAUAAAUUAAUACUGAUGAAGAUAUAUUUGUAUUAACAGGCUAUGAGCUGUGUCUAUUUUCAGAUUAAAGUUUGCUAUAAAAAUACGAAGCCAGCAUAAGUUUAAAGCCUUCAAAUAUAUUUUGGGUAUUUGCAUAAUUACACUUGCAAAUUAAAAUUCCACUAUUAAAUACAUAUAUAUACAAGCACACCUUUUUAUUACUUUUUUUUUUUUUAAUGGAUUGGCACUGGACAUUUUCUGUAACAAAUCUUUAAAUGACGUUUAGAUGUAGAGCUUAGUGAUAUGGUUUAGUGGAGGACUUGUUAGUGUUAGGUCAGAGGUUGGAAUAGGUGAUACUGGAGUCCUCUUCCAACCUAGAUGAUUCUGUGAUUUUGUAAAAUAUGAAUGACCGUGAUUUUACCACACUUAUUACAAACAAUUAAAUAUCAUGCCAAGUUUAUUACAUCAAGGCACAUAUCUUUGUUGAAGAAGAUAACCACAAUGCAAUUUUAACAUUUAAAUGAUAGUACCCAGCACCUCAAUUAACCUAGUGCUCAUGGCACUGAAAGGAAAAAAAAAAGACAAAGAACUCCAUAUGCAUCUGCACAUUUCUUAGCAAACAGCAAAUUAAUUCUGAGUGAGCAGUUUUGAAGUUAGAUACAUCAUGCAUUUGUGUCUCUUGGUAAGAAGUCAGUUUCUCUCGUAUGCACGGUUGAGCUACAAAAUAAGGAAUUACCAAGCACCUGACCUGUUGUAUGUCCACACAGAUAUGGAAAUCAAGCUGAAUUGUUUGCAGUUUCUAUCUUUUCUAGAAACCCUAACAGAACGCAAUGAGGAUAACACAGGUUUAAUUCCUAUUUUCCAGACAAAUGGCAGUCCUCCCUCUAACAUAGUCUAUACUUACGGGUUUAGCUUUAGACAAGUGUACUUCAGAGAACUGAAAGGAUUGGCCAUCUUAAUGGUAACAAAGGAAUUUCUCAGAAUUACUGACCACAGAGAUUCAUAGGAGCAAAGAGUAAGAAAAGAUUUUGUAAAGGUUUGUGUACUCUAGGAGACCACAAUCUCUUUGUCCCCUCCCCCCCCCCACCGCUAUAGCCAGAAUUGCAAAUGGCUCUGUAAAUGUUAUGGAGAGCUUUUCUGAAAUCAAUUCUAAUAGCUUUGAAUAUAACUAUAAUCAGAUUUUGUUUAAAGCUCUUGAUAUGUUCUUUGCACAGGAUGGCUAUCGGGCACAUAUAAUUGAACAUUAUAUAAUAAAGAAAAAAUACAUUGGCUUUUUGUUCUAGGCACUAGUUUCCAUGGACUACUUCUCAUUGUAUAUUACCAUUUUCAUAAAAGCAGCUCCAAACAGUUGCAAAGACUUAUAUAUGUAGUCAUUUUUUUGCAACGCCCACAAGCUUUAACAUUUCAGUUGUUCAGAAUCUUACUGGCCUAUGCCCCUUUCCCCAACAAAGGAAAUAAGGGCACAAAAAUAAUUUCUCUUCUUGUUUUCUAAUGUCUUAGAACAACACAUAUUCUACCUACACCUGAAGAGGCAACAAGUCACCAAAUUUCAGGAAGCAUAAAGCAUUUAAGCAGGGAAGUCAUGCAUACACUAUUUGGCAUGUGUGAAAACCAUUCAAUUUCAAACAUUCUUAUCUGUAUGGAGAAUUUAGGCACUUCAGCAAUUCCAUGCAAAUGGUCCAAUACUGCUUUCACCAUGUUCUCUCUUAAAUAAUGUUAACCUCAUUCAUCUCCAGAAUCACAAAAUUGGUGCAGUUUACUAAAAUUUUGAAUGAAUUCUCCACCUAUUUCCAACACUUGCUUGGAAACAGAGCUGAGAGUGACACCUUACCAAAUAUGUUUCAUUUAGAAAAGAUUAGAAGACAAAACGUAAGUUUACUGCAAGGAAGUACAUAAAUUUUAAAUUAGUUAGAAAUAUUAGUACACACAAAAAGCAAUAUACUAUUUUGAAUAAAUUCCUGGUGCAUUACUAAGUAACUUUAGGUAAAAUAAUGUUUAUCUAAGAGAAACACGGAAUUGCUUUACAGGCAAGGAGUAACCUAAAGAGGGGAGGCUUAGUUUAGAUAUAAAGAAGAAAUUAUUUGCUCUGAGGGUGGAGAGGUACAGCAACAGGUUGCCCAGAGAAGCUGUGGAUGCACUUACCCACAGAGAAGAUGUGGAACACUUCCCCACCCCUGGAAGUAUUCAAGGCCAGGCUGGAUGGGUCCUUGGGCAACCUGGUCCUUGGGCACCAGGGAGGUGUCCCUGCCCUUGUCAGGGGGCUUGGAACUCAAUUAUCUUUAAGGUACCUUCCAAACCAAACCAUUCUAUGAUUCUGGGAUUCUCACAUCCUCUUUCCUUACUACCCUUUUGGAAGUCAGUACUCUUCAGACAGCUGCAGGCCCUCUUUCAACUUACAUUUCUGGGAACAAAAACAAAUUUUCAUGUUGAAUUUAUGUCUCACUUUUGAGUAUUUGGGCUCCUCAGUGUUGUAUUUGUAAAUAUUUCAUUUCUCUGAGUUUGCCCUUUAAAAACCAAGGGCAUUAAAGAUCUCUUCCUGUUUACCCAUUUAAGUUAAAGCAAAUCAAUGAAGAAUCAUAGGAUCUAAAGUUCUUUUGUUUUUUCCUAAAUUUUUUCUUAAUCCUCAAUAUCAGAUUUGUCAUGGCAAAGAAAUCAAUGAAGAUACUGGUUGAAUGUCAGUACCUAGGCUCUUGGAUUAUUACUACCAUUUUUUUCCCCAUAAUCCAUAUUUAGAAAGCUAAAAUGUCAUAUAUGACUAGAGUGAACACUCCUAUCUACUUUUUUCCCUUUAAUACUGUUAGAGAGAUCUACAGUUUCCAAAAACUACCUCAUCAGAAAUUCCUUAGUAUCUCUUCCAGACUUCACUGACUCAAGAAACAAUGUUAUUGACCACACAUCUUAGCUUCCUUUCUAUUUUCUCUGAACAUCAUCUUAAUUUUUGUAAUUACUUUCGUUAGUUAACCUAUAGAGCUGGGGUUCAAGCAGAUCAAGUUCCUAUGUCUAGACAUAUGUUCCUAUGUCUAUGAGACUUCCCCCAUUCCACACGAACACCUCUAUAGUGGCAUGCUGACCACAACUAAUUAAUAAUCAAAUCCAUUCUUCAAUGGAGUUACAUAUCUGGUUAUCCCUAUUAUCAGUAUUUAUAUCUUCCUUUUUCCCUUGCCACUUCUCCUAUUACUCUUUUGCUAUUUUUACUACAUUUGCCAUUUUCUUUUUUUAAUUCUUCUUAAGUACUAAGUUAGUUUAAAAGAAUUCAUUACUUCUUCCGAAGUCUCAUUUUUGACACUUUCUUUUACUAUUUUUCCACUCUCAAUUUGAAGAUUACACUAUUGCAGUGGAAUCUAUCCAUCAUGAAGAGCUUGAUUUCGUUGAAUGUUACCUUGUAGUCAGGUAUUCUAAAUGAAUCUUGAAGUGAUUUUUGUUUCUUUUUUAACUUUUAUUUAUUUAUUUAUUUAUUAAGGGGAUUAAAAUAAUUUCACCCAUAUAGCCCCAGCACCUUUCCUAAUCUUGGGCAAUUACUCGUUAGAGCAAAUAAUUGUCAUUUGUUCCAAGUACCAGUCUUUGCUAGUAGUGACAUUGUUACCAGCUUACCGUCCCCCUCCAUACUAGACACCCAAAAUUUUCUUUUUAAGUGAAAGAAUGUCCUUCUAGAGAAUGGAAGUUUUUACCCUGACAUCUUUUAAGGCACUGAUCCUUUAUUUCCGUCUUACUAUUCUAAUCUUACUAAUUACUAUUUAACCCCCAAACUACUCUUUCCCAUUAUGUUUUUGUUUGUUUGUUUGUUUUUUAACAUAAUUUGCAAAUUGCUUUCAGCAAGACAUUAAAGAUAAUGUUAUUUCAUUAAUUUAAAAUUAGUCAAGGUGAUUCUCAUGAUAUUUUCUGUUGUUCUUAUGCACAAAUUGCAAAACACAACUUUUAUUAGCCUCACACUGAAUUACUUAAUUACAGGAUGAAAUCAUAUUCAGUAAUAACAACUAAAGCACUUAGCCGUGUUCAAGAAUGAAGUGAAAAUCAUUUAGAUUCUUGCAAGUGGGUUCUCAGAGUUCCAAUACAUUUUUAAAGAUACUUUUAUAUCACAUAAAAUGCAUUCUUUUAUAUGAUAGGACAAUCCAUAACAGAAGAAAAUGAAGAUCUUCAUCCACUACAGCACUCUUUACUCUGAAAGAGAAUGUCAUGCUAUAACCAUUACAAAGAAUUUCAUUAUUCUCUCAACCACAGCAGCCACCCAGUGGCUACUCUUUUUAAUACUCAGACACGCAUAAAACCAGGAAUUUAGGAGAUGGUCAGAACUUGCAAUUUUCAGUGAUAGCCUCUUGCAUUAAAUAUUCCUUUUAUGUGAAAGAGGAAAUAAAGCCAUCAACAUUUUUUCUUUGGAAGCAGACUCUACACAAACAUUCAGAAGAAGAGGAAGAAGAAAAAAACAAAGAUAUGGAUGUAAAUGUUGUGAGGCUCUUUUGUCAUUACUGUUUAUAUAUAUAUAUAUAUAAACAUAUAUAUAAACAUAUAUAGUGUCUGUUUGCUUUUCUUUAAAUAAGAGACUGUUAAUAAGAAGA
Molecule: long non-coding RNA, 10024 nt
Organism: Anas platyrhynchos (mallard)
Lineage: Eukaryota; Metazoa; Chordata; Aves; Anseriformes; Anatidae
Source: RefSeq, a predicted model, not a curated record